CGGGUUGUAAACCUCUUUGGUAGGGAAGAAGCGUAAGUGACGGUACCUGCAGAAGAAGCGCCGGCUAACUACGUGCCACCAGCCGCGGUAAUACGUAGGGCGCAAGCGUUAUCCGGAAUUAUUGGGCGUAAAGAGCUCGUAUGCGGUUUGUCGCGUCUGCCGUGAAAGUCCGGGGCUCAACUCCGGAUCUGCGGUGGGUACGGGCAGACUACAGUGAUGUAGGGGAGACUGGAAUUCCUGGUGUAACGGUGAAAUGCGCAGAUAUCAGGAGGAACACCGAUGGCGAAGGCAGGUCUCUGGGCAUUAACUGACGCUGAGGAGCGAAAGCAUGGGGAGCGAACAGGAUUAGAUACCCUGGUAGUCCAUGCCGUAAACGUUGGGCACUAGGUGUGGGGGACAU
RNAcentral lists this ribosomal RNA (400 nucleotides) under uncultured bacterium. Its description in RNAcentral is "bacterial SSU rRNA". It matches the Rfam family "Bacterial small subunit ribosomal RNA", at positions 419 to 832 of the family's 1533-position model. The record is from RNAcentral.